RNAcentral lists this long non-coding RNA (673 nucleotides) under Pan troglodytes (chimpanzee). RNAcentral describes it as "lincRNA". Lineage: Eukaryota; Metazoa; Chordata; Mammalia; Primates; Hominidae. The record is from RNAcentral.
CUGUAGCCCCUGCGUAGGCAUGUGGCUAACGGCCAGAUGUCUGACAGUUCUCCGACUUCUGGGCAUUCCACGUAGGACGCUUUCUCAUGAGUGUCUGAAACCGUCAGUUCACUGCCAGAAAUGGAGAUACAUGGUUCCUGAUAAACUGGCACUUGCCUUUUCAAAGCCACCAUUUCCUCUAUCCUCUGGGCUGUCACAAAUCCUCCUCUGCACCUCAGGAGUGCCCCUUGGAGCCACGUUCACCACUUCUCUGCCCCUGACCCAGGCUGGUUCCCAGGCCUUGGGGUCCUAGCGUGGACCUCCUGGAAGUAAUUAAUGCAGUUUUCCAGAUUAACUCGAAGUACCCCACGACUAAACGCUAAUGAAACUAGAGGAGGCACAGCUUCAGCUCCGUGCAGGAUGGAUGCACAAGAGCAGAAUCUCCAUGGGACGCCUUUCUGGAGCAUCAGUAUUACUGCAGGAUUUGGAAGAAACAAAUUCAAAUAAUUUCCUAAGUAAGACACUGGAAAUUUAAGAGGAAGCUGGAAACUCAUCUGCCUUUAAUACUUUUUUUCUCCAAGAAAAAAAAAAGAAACUCUAAGGAGAACCUAUUUUUCACUCUUCUAAGUAGUUAAAAUUAGAAAUCACAGCAAGUCAAUAGAAAGCUCUGCCUUGCCAGUCUCCUAAAUCACAA